GUAUGAGAAGACAGUGUUUGUACCACUUGCCUUUUUUUUUUGUUUUGUUUUGUUUGCUUUUUUGUUCGUAAGUUAUUGCUCCUCUUACCUAACCUCACCAGUUUUGAGUAUUUUUUAAUUCUUGCCUUUUGUGCCUUUUCCCAUAGGUAAACCAUCCCUGGCACCCUAAAAGGUACACUCCGUGUUAUUGUGUAUCAGUCUGCUGUCAGAGCACUGAGCCCAUAGGACAUUGCAAAAGAAAGAAAACUGCAGUUUUGCAUAAUCUCCAUAUAGCAACAGUCGCUGUGCUUCCGUGGAACACACAGUGUUCUUUGGCAGCCUCAGUGCGAGGAGCCGGCACUUUGCUUGCUGUGCGCAGUAGAUAGCAAAGGACCGCAUUUUCCCAGAGCCCAGGUCUCUCCCCUCUCACAGCCUUCUUGUGAAGGUUGCACAAGAUGUGAAUUUUGCCGGCACUAUGUAAAUUGCAAAAACUACUGACAUAAUGCUAUUUGACAUAAUGCAGCUUUUAUUGAGUGCCCUAAACUGUCCUGACUUUGUGAGAGGAAGAUUUUUCCUUCAGGGUUUUCUACUUUGUGGGAAGAACAGAUGGACAGACUCAGAUCCGAAAUAAAUUUUAGGGAUCAUAGGUUUUUUUUUCUUAAUUGAAGGGAUGAUAGUAAUACAGUCUUAUUAGCAUAUAUUGCCAGAUUUACAGCCCUUGCGGUCACUAGCAUAUCAGAGUUUGCUUUGGAAUUUCCUGGUUUUAGCCCUCAAAGGCCCAUGUCCUAGAAAGCCUCUCUGUCCCAGGCAAACUGGGACAGUUGGUCAACCUUGGACUGUUUUCAGUGCCACAAGCUGGGGGGAUGAGCAGAAUGGGAAGGUUGUUAGUGUGUAGAGGUGAUUAGGGUUCCCUGCAGCUGGAGGUUACUGGACACAGGAAAAUGGAUGUUCUUGUAUAAAGUAAGUAUGGGCUGACACCUGAAACUCGGCACAUCCAAAAUCAAAGUGAUAACUUUAUUCAUCUUUAUUAUUCCUUCUCUCAAUCCCCACACAUGGGUUCUUUAAAAAAAUAAAAAUUAUAUAUAUAUAUACACUUAAAAUUUUCUAUCUAAUUCUAAUAUUUAUCUCUGGUAAAGGCUUUACCAAACUUGUAGUCACUUCAGAGUGAAGAAGUUCUUUGUUAUGCCAUGUUACUAUUUGCCAGUCUGAUGAAGCCUAAUGCUGCCACAAUUUGUUGCCCAUAUCCAUAAUUGAAGAAAGACUGAUAAGAUGGAAUCCUGUCAUCUGGAACCUGUGAUCUCUGAAUUUGCGUAAAAUUUAUCCAGGCCCAGAAAAGCAGCAGAACCAGGUGGGCAACACCAGGACCAGUUGUAAUGACUAAGGUGUUGACUAAUCAGUAGAGACCAUGACCGUGAAAGGGAACACCUGGAAAACUGACUGAAACCCUCCCUGAGACCUCCGCUGAGAUUCCCGCCUGCAUGAGAUAGGUUGGACACACCCUGGCAGAAUCAACCCAUGGGGAUGCUGCUCCUUGAUCUGCCACUUCAUACAUGUUGUUCAGAGAUGAUGGCAAUUUAUCCUCGCUCCUGAUGCUUGCCCGGCUGAGCGUCCUUGAACACACCUUGCUGUUGUAGACCCUGCCCAUGCUAUUUUCUCGGCUCACAUUUGCUUUCUCCUUGGUCUGUCCAUAGACUUCCUCCUUAUCUGUCAAGACACAGAACGUGUCCUCUGGUCCUCCUUCGCUGUCCUUUCUGGCACCUCCCUCCUCAGGCUCUGGCGCAGUGGCAGUUCAUCGUUACAAACACCCCCCCUUAGCUUCUGAUGGAUGAGCAAAGCGGCCAUCGAAGAUGUGUGGCUGACAGUCCUGCCUAGCCAUUCCUGUUUUGGCGAAGUCGUGGAUAACGUUGAUGAGAUGACACAAGUA
Pipistrellus kuhlii (Kuhl's pipistrelle) is the source of this 1903-nucleotide long non-coding RNA. RefSeq lists it as uncharacterized. The record is from RefSeq and is a predicted model, not a curated record. The transcript is spliced from 6 exons. Lineage: Eukaryota; Metazoa; Chordata; Mammalia; Chiroptera; Vespertilionidae.